This 1471-nucleotide long non-coding RNA is filed under the name Daucus carota (carrot). Its description in RNAcentral is "long non-coding RNA (DCAR_LNC003429)". Lineage: Eukaryota; Viridiplantae; Streptophyta; Magnoliopsida; Apiales; Apiaceae. The record is from RNAcentral.
UACAACCUUCCAAGUUAAACUUAAGUAAAAAGACUUACACUCUAGAAGUAAGAAGAUGCAGAGUCAACUUACUGAAUGAAUCAAUUUAUAUAUGUAUUUUUAGGAAGAGAUAGACAGACUUGCUUCAAACUACCCUGACCACUUUAAAGUUUACUCGCACUAAAUCAGGUUUGUUGCUCCUUUAUUUAGCCAUCAUCUCUCUUCUUUUCCAUGGCACUGCGUUGACACUUAAUACUAUCGAGUAAAAUGUAGAAGGCUGAUAAUGAUGUGUACCCCUGCAAAUAUGGGAUGGUGGUGUAGGAUUUGUAACCAGGAAAAGAUCCAAACUCAUAGCCGCCCCUAGCCUGCAUUUGAUAUUCAGGUAGAUUUUGUUCAAUACAACAUAAUAUUGUGAAAAAAUUCCAAAAGUAGCUGAUUCUUUUCUGAGAAAAAUGGCCGAUUUUGAGUUGUGGAUCCCCACUGAUGAAUAAGGCCAUGGAUGCUAACCUUGAAGCCCUGGGAUAUGCACCGGAAACGCAGUUUCAGUUUUGAAAUUGUGAUAAGAACUUGCAUGUGUUCGUCACACAUGCAGUCUUCUGUUGUUUAAUCUUCAAUGUACUUUUUGUUAAACAUUUAGCCAUUAAAAACAUAUAUACUUCAGGUGACUUGACCCUUGUCAGAGAGUAUCUUGCCCAGUAUAACUGCUGUGCAAUUUUAUUUCUAGAUCAACUGAUUUUUUUUAACAAAAUGAGCUUUUUUAUUUCAAGAACAUAAUGAAUUUUUCUACUCUAAAAAAUUACUACCUCUUUUCUGUAACUACUAUAAAACAACCCUUGAAAAAGCAUUUUGGGACUGGAUGUGUGUAUUAGCUACAUUAGCUCAAAGAGGGCAAUGAUUAUUUGUAAAUUUUGUUAAUAUAUAUUACACUAACAGAAGUAAUCUGGGACUAGCAUUACAGUUCAAAUAAUUAAAAAAUUAUCAUUAAUUUGUAUUAUGUACUCAUAUAAAUCCUUUCCUAUUUACAUACUUCGGAUUAUUUUUCAGUUAUUUGAUUUAUGCCAUUUUAGAUAAUUUUUCUUUACCCUUCAUUUAUUUGAUUCUUAUUUUUAUAGAUGGUCCCUAUGCGGUUACUCCUUUAAGAAGAAAAAUACAAAAGCCUGUUUGUACCCUCAUCCUUAGCCAACAUUAGUCUUCGUCAUAUAUAACCUUGGAUUUUCUCUAUACCUUCACAAUUAAACACACACACAAACACACACAAACUAUUUAGGCCUCCUUUGAGAUAUACAAUAAAUUGGUAAUAUCUUGUGUUGAACUAGUGAUAAGAAUGGAGACUAUCAUUGAAGAGUACGAGAACAAUAAUUCACAUUUCUAUGACAGUGAUGACAUCACCACCGACGAAGAAGAAGAAGUGCAGGAGCAAGAUGACGAAGAAAGCGCUGCAGAAGAGUACAACAGCAGCACUGAUAUCUACAGCUGUGGAGGUGGAAACCUG